GUGCUUGCUUUGGCAGCACAUAUACUAAAUUUGGAAUAAUACAGAGAAGAUUAGCAUGGUACCUGCACAAGGAAGUCACAAAUUCAUGAAGCAUUCCAUGUUUGU
This is a small nuclear RNA of Gracilinanus agilis (Agile Gracile Mouse Opossum), 105 nucleotides long. Lineage: Eukaryota; Metazoa; Chordata; Mammalia; Didelphimorphia; Didelphidae. The record is from RefSeq and is a predicted model, not a curated record.